UUCGCAACUGACGCUAGCUUGAUGACUUUUUCCUUAUUUGUAUACCAAAGCGGCGAGUAUACGUCAGAAUAUUGACGUUUAUUCACGCGAAAAUAAAACGUCAUUAAUAAUGAAGGUGAAAUGUCAACAUUACGCCAGUAUUCGUUAAUUGCAGUGAUGAAGUGCAUCAUUAUGCCAUUAUAGUUCGAGAAGGGCCACCGACUAUCUGGACAGUACCAUCGUGUGUUUGUGCACUCUGACAGGGGACGACGCCAUUGAGGGACCUAAUUAAACACACCUUCACCUGGAUUGAAGAUACUUCAGAGGCUACUCUAAAGACCCAUGGAGCCCAACCUGUUGGUUCUGAUCCGAUGCUGGAGGCCCGCUGAUGGCUGCAGUGGGCCGGCAGGACGCAGCGUUGACAGGCGGGGUGAGAGAGUCUUGCAGACGGCGUGGACGCGGCAGACAGAUGCCCUCUUAUAAGCAGCAGAGGCGCUCAAUGGUGGAGUGUUGUUGGCCACUGCAUCACCUGGCCUCCUCCUCCUCGUCCUGUGGGUGCUUCUCCGCACCAGAGUGUGGUCCUGACUCCUAAUGAGCUCCAGAACCUCUUCCUCCUUCACCCUGCUCCAUCCUCUUCACAUCUUUUAUGUACCAUACGCUCACACAUGCAUGUGUAAUAAGACAAAAUCAAUAUCUGACUGUUUUGUCUCAUUCAAUUUGAUUACAGUCAAAGAGUUGAUGGUCCAAAGCUGCUGCUGCUGCUGCUGCUGCAUCCUUUGGUGGACGAAUCUCAGUACAUUUGCAACAUGCAUUCAUGGAGGUAUUAUUAUUAUUAUUAUUAUUAUUGUUGGCUCUCAGCAUAUUAAAACAAUAACAGUAAUUAA
Molecule: long non-coding RNA, 863 nt
Organism: Dunckerocampus dactyliophorus (ringed pipefish)
Lineage: Eukaryota; Metazoa; Chordata; Actinopteri; Syngnathiformes; Syngnathidae
Exons: 4
Source: RefSeq, a predicted model, not a curated record